GGAAGUAAAAGUCGUAACAAAGUUUCCGUAGGUGAACCUGCGGAAGGAUCAUUAUCGUACAAGAUGUGAGGGCAUGCGAGGGCUGUCGCUGACCCAAAAGUCGUGCAUGCCCGAGUGUGUCCUCUUGCAUAAUAAUCCAUCUCACCCUUUGUGCAUCACCGCGUGGGCACCCUUCGGGAUCAUCUCGGAGGGGGGCUCGCGCUUUCACACAAACCCCCCUUUUAAAAGUGUAGAAUGACCACAUUUAUGCAAUCAAUACAACUUUCAACAACGGAUCUCUUGGCUCUC
RNAcentral lists this unclassified non-coding RNA (288 nucleotides) under plant metagenome. RNAcentral's name for it is "partial contains small subunit ribosomal RNA, internal transcribed spacer 1, and 5.8S ribosomal RNA". The stretch from base 1 to 54 matches the Rfam family "Eukaryotic small subunit ribosomal RNA", at positions 1778 to 1831 of the family's 1831-position model. The record is from RNAcentral.